CAGUCCUUGGCAAUGGAAUUGUUUCCAAGUCGGGCGAGCGGUUUGCACGUGACCGGGCACUGCUGAGUCACCGCCGGGGGCUGCGGUUUCUACGUGAAUUAGGGGAGUCGCGAGGGGCGGGGGCUCCUGCCGCAGCCAGAACUUUCUAGCACAGACCUGCGGGCGUUCCUCACCCACCGCCCUCAUGGCCAGGAAGAAACGUGGUGAGUAAAGAAGUUACAAAGAGAAAGAAGGCCUUUGCCCCGGGACCGCGUAGCCAUCUGCGGCUCCUCGAGGCCCCCUGCUCUUCACUGUCACCUUCGCUGCCAUCGCUGACGUUUUCCCGAGUCGGGGUGAGACCAGGAAGGACGUGCCGACACGGGGACGGGAGGCAGGCGUGUUCAGUUGGACUCGGGGGCGUCCGACAAUUUCUCAUUUCGCAGCUGACGCUUGAGAGCCCAGGAUGUGCUCGUGAAGGCGGCGCGCUGGCCCCUCGGGAGGCGUCCGGGCGUCGGGUGCACUGAGGGCUGCGCAGUGGCCGCCCGGCCCCGCCGUCCAGCGACAGCCCCUGGUGGUGCAGCCCGUGCUCUGCGCAGAGGCCGAGGAUGGCCCGGAGCCCUUCCGCAGCCUCACUGCUCCGCUCCGCAGUUUUUCCGGGGCCUCCUGAGGACCUGGUGAGUGUCGAGGGACGGUUUCCCGGACAGUGCUUUGCCCACCGCCUACCCCCAGCCAGCCCAAGCCCAGACCCCGCUGGGGCAGCCACCACGCAGCACGCCAGCCGCUUCCUGGAGGAGGCAGCCCUGUGGUUGCAGAUACGUGGACUCCUUCCAAGGCUGCAGUGCCGUGUCCUCAUGGGGAGUCCUCGAUCUUUAAACGUCGGACCCCAGUGAGAUCCACCCCCUCGGCCGUAAAGUGUCAGCAUCUUCGGGGGCCCGGCGGGUUUUCUGGAGCCAGAUGGGUCUGGGGGCCCAGUUUGUGUCAGUGCCAACCCCUGAGGAGGGGCCCCCGCUGCCCUUCGUGGGGUGAGGCUCGUGCCGGGUCGGGCAGGGAGUGGGCCCCGCUGCCCGCCAGCCUCGGGCCUGAUCCGAGCAGGCCCCUGCGCCCUCGUCCUCCGCGCAGAGGUCCAGACGAGGCGCUCGUCCCCGGGGGGAGGCCCCUCUCCAGACCUCGGAGAAAACCUCGGACAGG
This 1167-nucleotide long non-coding RNA is filed under the name Dasypus novemcinctus (nine-banded armadillo). RNAcentral's name for it is "lncRNA (ENSDNOG00000051044.1)". Lineage: Eukaryota; Metazoa; Chordata; Mammalia; Cingulata; Dasypodidae. The record is from RNAcentral.